RNAcentral lists this ribosomal RNA (457 nucleotides) under uncultured bacterium. RNAcentral's name for it is "bacterial SSU rRNA". It matches the Rfam family "Bacterial small subunit ribosomal RNA", at positions 33 to 507 of the family's 1533-position model. The record is from RNAcentral.
ACGCUGGCGGCGCGCUUAAUACAUGCAAGUCGAACGAGAAGCCAGAGCUUGCUCUGGUGGAAAGUGGCGAACGGGUGAGUAACACGUGAGAAACCUGCCCCAAAGAUUGGGAUAAGCCUUGGAAACGAGGUCUAAUACCAAAUACCUUCCUUUUAACACAUGUUAAAAGAAGAAAUGCUCCGGCGCUUUGGGAUGGUCUCGCGAUCUAUCAGCUUGUUGGUGAGGUAACGGCUCACCAAGGCAUCGACGGAUAGCUGGUCUGAGAGGAUGUCCAGCCACAUUGGAACUGAGACACGGUCCAAACUCCUACGGGAGGCAGCAGUAGGGAAUCUUGCACAAUGAGGGAAACCUUGAUGCAGCGACGCCGCGUGCGGGACGAAGGCCCUAGGGUUGUAAACCGCUUUCAGUAGGGACGAAAGUGACGGUACCUACAGAAGAAGCCCCGGCCAACUAUGUG